This 2735-nucleotide long non-coding RNA is filed under the name Paramuricea clavata. The record is from RNAcentral. Lineage: Eukaryota; Metazoa; Cnidaria; Anthozoa; Malacalcyonacea; Plexauridae.
GCUAGUAAUUAUUGGUACACACUUUUUAAAUACAUUACAAGCGCGUGUAAUUGGUAUGAAAUACACUGUAAUGAUGUCAAUGUCAUGGCUUAGUGCACCACCCGCUCCAGAACCCCUCUUCCCUAUACUACUUAUGAGAUACCUGCGACAGAGGAGAAAUUCUAAUCAGUAUAACAUCGUUAUUGGGCAAUUUAUUGGACAUGUUGGCAUGUUCUUAAUGUUUUAAUCUAAGCUUCAAUAAACAGUUCGGGCUAAUCACAUGCAGUUCCUUAAUUUCUCCAUUUUUUUUACAAUCAACGUUACCCGCAUUAAUUGACAUGCCUUACCAUGUGAUACCAAAUUGUAUUACAGUUAUAUUAUAUUAUUGAUCUCCUCAAAACAUGUCGUACACCACUGUCUUUAGAGGGGAAAUUUCCAAAACUCCAAAUCCCUUUGAGAAACGUCGAAACUUGGAAACUCAGAUACUUGGAAUGUUGCAAACUCGGAAUCUCGGAAAGUCAGAAGUCCCUUCUCGGCCAUCGUACUUUAAGAGCUUUGUGAUUUCACAUAUCAUAAGAACUUUGUAUGCAUAAUGCUGCAUUCACCAAUUUUUGUACGCACCAAUUUUUCAGUGAUCAAUCCUUGCAGUGAUUUGCUCCACGAAACCAUUUCUAAGAAUUGCCAUCUCCGGGCGAGAUUUUCACUUUUUUUUGAGUAUUCAAACGCCUCCCGCAUAAAGCGCAUUCUUUCUUUAGGUUGGUUUUCUGAACGUCGGAAACGAUAAAUCGACUUGACCAGGUUGAGCUGGAUCUCGCGAUAACAUGUGGGUUUGCGCCCUGAUUGUUCAAUGGCCAUUAUACUAGAGUUGGCCUGCUUCAGACGGCUGUCGUCAACAUGUUCAGCGACCAACUCGCCAGAAAGGUUACAGCCCAGAUAAAACGUCGCAAGGGUGAUAUGGGCCUUGUAUUCCAGGUCUGCGCAUACCUCGGGACAAUCCAACAUAACUUGUUGGAGGUGUUGCAGAGCGCUACGUGAGAGCACAUCUGGAGGACGCAAAAAUGUAUCAUCAAAACAGUCCGUCAUUGUUCCUGCACCUAAGUGUACUAGCGCUGUAACUAAACCUGGUGAAAGCCAUUGUGCCUUUGCCAAAGCACCGACAAACAAAAUGCGGAUACUGUUAAGAUCUCCUUUAGGCCGCGUAACCGCAACACGUGCACAUAGCUCUAGCACUUCAAACAUAUGAUGUUCUGUAGCAUUUGAUAGGAGUUUGUCGUACUCGUCCAGCAAUGUAUCUGCUGUCUUAAAAUUAUGUCUUCGGGAACGCAAAAUUAUUUUUUUCAACAACACCACCAAUUUGAGCUCGACAAUAUCUGGAAAUCCUUCUUCUAUUUUCUUGGAAUUUUUUUCGAAUCCUCUGAAAUCCCCAUUAUUUAAAGAAAACGUUAGAAUACAAAAUGCUUUCAUACAAAGAUUUCGAAUCUUUUUUGAAAUCCAUGUAAUGCUGCUACCAAUUGCAUGGGGGACCGACUCAACCUCGACUGGUCCCAAAAUUCUCUUCUUCCAAGCAGUAAACGACAUCUUCUCAACUGUCCCCUCCACCAUUUCAUAACAUUCUGGUUCCUCGGUGAACACACCACCCAGACAAGGAGCGAUAUAGAUCACGAUCACAAAGGUUGAUGGGAUAGGUUUGGAGUUUUUAUCUAACACUGGCUCGAAGAAAAUAUCCCAGUGUUUCCCUCGUUUUGGUUCACCAAUCUGUUCAGGCCAGAUCAUUUUGUUGAUGACUUUCUCAACUUUCUUUGGUAUUUCAAUGAUGUCUUCCACAUUUAGAAUCAAUUCGCCUUCAACAAAUGUACAAUCUGUGAUACCAUAGUACAUGUGACCUCCGGAAUGGUUGGCAAACGCGGAAACAUAGUGACUGAAUUUAUUACCUUUACCAGUCAUGCGAUCUGCUAAUCUAGUACGCUUUGAUGGACAUGCUUUUAGAUGCUUUAACAUCACCGUUUUGCUUUCUUGAAAACCACACUUUUCAUAUAAAAAAAAUGUUUUCUCAUGUGAGCGAAUUUGGACUGGUUCCAGAAUGACUUUUCUGUUGAUGAAAUCGUUCUUGACGUUUUCUAGUAGUUCCAGAGGAGACACUAGUAAAACUUGGGUUUCACUUGGUAAAUAAAGGUUAUAAUUAGUUGUUAUUAAAAAAUCACCUUUUCCCACUACAAUUACUGUGCUGUCUUUAUCUUCUUCGAAAUUUAUUUUCGAGACAGUCUGGUGUGUUCCAAUGAUAGACACCAUAGAUUGUUCUAGUAUUCGAAUCGCCAGUGACAUCUGGGAGGAUAGUAAUUUGCACUCGUUAAACAACACGACUUUUCCACCAUUGCUGUUUAGCAUGGCACAUAUAGCAGCUACUAUUUCUUUUAAAUUUUUUUCCUUGUACCUUUUAUUAGUCGAGGACGAGGUGUUUACAUAUUUAUAUAUGUCUAUAGCAUGAGCAGUCUCAUCAAAACUACCAGCCAUUGUGUGUAUGUUUCUUGACCAAAUAAACUACGAUUUUCAACGAUACAUUUCUCAAAAUAUUGAAGCUUUUAAUCCCUGUGGUAUAGAAGAGAAAUAAUAACUGUUAAAAUUUGAUUAGGUAGUUGUAUUUUGAAGUCAUGGGGUGCAUGAUGAGUAAGCAUAAUAGAUAUAUGCUAAUAUGAUAUUUGAACUAUUUAUAGGAUGGUUUAUAUAGUAAUAGGUAUUUGAUAUAUAGGUAUACUGGU